This is a non-coding RNA of Beta vulgaris subsp. vulgaris (sugar beet), 111 nucleotides long. NCBI's taxonomy places the organism in Eukaryota, Viridiplantae, Streptophyta, Magnoliopsida, Caryophyllales, Amaranthaceae. The record is from Rfam.
AGCUGAUGCACAUGACGGUCACCUCCCAGUUCCGUCGCAGCAGCUGUUCCCCUCUGGAGGUUCAAAAUCUCCACACUUUACGGGCCGCGGUUUUCACCGGCGGCCCUUUCU